UACGUAGGGUGCAAGCGUUGUCCGGAAUUAUUGGGCGUAAAGGGCUCGUAGGCGGUUUGUCGCGUCUGCUGUGAAAACUCGGGGCUUAACUCCGGGCCUGCAGUGGGUACGGGCAGACUAGAGUGCGGUAGGGGAGACUGGAAUUCCUGGUGUAGCGGUGAAAUGCGCAGAUAUCAGGAGGAACACCGGUGGCGAAGGCGGGUCUCUGGGCCGUAACUGACGCUGAGGAGCGAAAGCGUGGGGAGCGAACAGG
This 253-nucleotide ribosomal RNA is filed under the name uncultured bacterium. RNAcentral's name for it is "partial 16S ribosomal RNA". It matches the Rfam family "Bacterial small subunit ribosomal RNA", at positions 524 to 776 of the family's 1533-position model. The record is from RNAcentral.